AGCAGCCGCGGUAAUUCCAGCUCCAAUAGCGUAUAUUAAAGUUGUUGCAGUUAAAAAGCUCGUAGUUGAAUUUCGGGAUCAAUACGUCGGUCGUACCUCGGUACGUACUAACGUUAUUGAUUUCUCCCUUCUGACGAACCGUGAUGUCAUUAAUUUGGUGUUACGGGGAGUUAGGACUGUUACUUUGAAAAAAUUAGAGUGUUUAAAGCAAGCAAUCGCUCGAAUACAUUAGCAUGGAAUAAUGAAAUAGGACGUUCGAACCUAUUUUGUUGGUUUUUAGGAUCGACGUAAUGAUUAAUAGGGAUAGUUGGGGGCAUUAGUAUUCAAUUGUCAGAGGUGAAAUUCUUGGAUUUAUUGAAGACUAACUACUGCGAAAGCAUUUGCCAAGGAUGUUUUCAUUAAUCAAGAACGAAAGUUAGGGGAUCGAAGACGAUCAGAUACCGUCGUAGUCUUAACCAUAAACUAUGCCGACUAGGGAUCGGAUGAUGUUAAUUUUUUAAUGACUCAUUCGGCGCCUUACG
This 521-nucleotide ribosomal RNA is filed under the name uncultured Glomus. Its description in RNAcentral is "SSU rRNA". It matches the Rfam family "Eukaryotic small subunit ribosomal RNA", at positions 569 to 1092 of the family's 1831-position model. The record is from RNAcentral. Lineage: Eukaryota; Fungi; Glomeromycota; Glomeromycetes; Glomerales; Glomeraceae.